Molecule: ribosomal RNA, 497 nt
Filed under: uncultured bacterium
Lineage: Bacteria
Description: partial 16S ribosomal RNA
Rfam family: Bacterial small subunit ribosomal RNA
Source: RNAcentral
GAUGAACGCUGGCGGCGUGCCUAAUACAUGCAAGUCGAGCGAACAGACGAGGAGCUUGCUCCUCUGACGUUAGCGGCGGACGGGUGAGUAACACGUGGAUAACCUACCUAUAAGACUGGGAUAACUUCGGGAAACCGGAGCUAAUACCGGAUAACAUGUUGAACCGCAUGGUUCAACAGUGAAAGACGGUCUUGCUGUCACUUAUAGAUGGAUCCGCGCCGCAUUGGCUAGUUGGUAAGGUAACGGCUUACCAAGGCAACGAUGCGUAGCCGACCUGAGAGGGUGAUUGGCCACACUGGAACUGAGACACGGUCCAGACUCCUACGGGAGGCAGCAGUAGGGAAUCUUCCGCGAUGGGGGAAAUCCUGACGGAGCAACGCCGAGUGAGUGAAGAAGGUCUUCGGAUCGUAAAACUCUGUUAUUAGGGAAGAACAAAUGUGUAAGUAACUAUGCACGUCUUGACGGUACCUAAUCAGAAAGCCACGGCUAACUACGUG